CUAUCAAUAUAAACUGCACCGAAGGCAAGGAGCAGAACAGAGACAUGUGCAGCCAUGGAGACGGACAGCUCCUACCACAAAUGGGACAGCUCAGAGCAGGUGGAACUGACAAUGCAGGGAGCGAGCAGCGCACCUGGGAGAGGCGGUAAAGCUCUUUGCCUCUCCAACUCCACCCAAGGGAAGGCCAUUGCGAUCCUGUAUCUCCUGCUGGCGAUUUGCAUUGCAGUGGUCACAGCUCUCAUCGUGGUGAAACUUGGGAAAUUGUCCCAGGGUCUUGCCGAAGCCCAGGUGGAUCGAGAUAUGAUUAGAAGAGAUUCCAAGAGAAAUCUAUCAGAUCACCAGGAUUAUCUAGGUGAGAGGAUAAAGCAAAUGUUUCUAUUCCUCGUCGAACUUGGCAAAUCUUUUUUUCUC
This 411-nucleotide long non-coding RNA is filed under the name Chrysemys picta bellii (western painted turtle). Its description in RNAcentral is "lncRNA (ENSCPBG00000003791.1)". The record is from RNAcentral. Lineage: Eukaryota; Metazoa; Chordata; Testudines; Emydidae.